GAACUUAAGCAUAUCAAUAAGCGGAGGAAAAGAAACCAACAGGGAUUACCUCAGUAACGGCGAGUGAAGCGGUAACAGCUCAAAUUUGAAAGCUGCCAACAGGCCGCGUUGUAAUUUGUAGAAGCUGCUUUGGGUGUCGGCCCGGUCUAAGUUCCUUGGAACAGGACGUCAUAGAGGGUGAGAAUCCCGUAUGUGAUCGGUGCCGUUGCCCGUGUAAAGCGCUUUCGACGAGUCGAGUUGUUUGGGAAUGCAGCUCAAAAUGGGUGGUAAAUUUCAUCUAAAGCUAAAUAUUGGCCAGAGACCGAUAGCGCACAAGUAGAGUGAUCGAAAGAUGAAAAGCACUUUGGAAAGAGAGUUAAACAGUACGUGAAAUUGUUGAAAGGGAAGCGCUUGCAACCAGACUUGCGGGCGGUCGAUCAUCCGAGGUUCUCCCCGGUGCACUCGAUCGUUCUCAGGCCAGCAUCGGUUUCCGGGGUGGGAUAAAGGCGGUGGGAAUGUGGCUCUUCGGAGUGUUAUAGCCCACUGUGCAAUGCCGCCACUGGGGACCGAGGACCGCGCUUCGGCUAGGAUGCUGGCGUAAUGGUUGUAAGCGACCCGUCUUGAAACACGGACCAAGGAGUCUAACAUCUAUGCGAGUGUUUGGGUGUCAAACCCAUACGCGUAAUGAAAGUGAACGGAGGUAAGAGCCCUUUAGGGUGCAUUAUCGACCGAUCCUGAUGUCUUCGGAUGGAUUUGAGUAAGAGCAUAGCUGUUGGGACCCGAAA
RNAcentral lists this ribosomal RNA (764 nucleotides) under uncultured fungus. RNAcentral's name for it is "eukaryotic LSU rRNA". It matches the Rfam family "Eukaryotic large subunit ribosomal RNA", at positions 30 to 821 of the family's 3401-position model. Lineage: Eukaryota; Fungi. The record is from RNAcentral.